GGGGUGCCCAACGCCCGCGAGGAAAGUCCCCCCACCUGUUCGGGCAGGUGACCGGACGCAAGUCUGGAGCGGGAGACCGCUGGCUCUGGAACAGAAACGACACGUCUCGGCCCGACCGAUGAUGCGCGCGAACCCGACCGAGAGGAAGGGGAGCUAACCCGCAGAGGGAACGUGGUCGCAUGUUGCUCGCGGUUGAACUCCGCAGGUCACGCUCGACGUGACCGACCACGCACUGACGGCCGAGGAUCGAUGGAACGGCGAACCCUCACCGGUGCAAGUCCGCGCCGUGGUAGCCCGAACACCCCGCGGCAUCGCCGCGGACGGCGUGGACGCUCAGCCGAAUGCCGGGAUGAACAGAAGGGGGCUUACUCCUCUCACCC
Molecule: RNase P RNA, 380 nt
Filed under: Natrinema hispanicum
Lineage: Archaea; Methanobacteriati; Methanobacteriota; Halobacteria; Halobacteriales; Natrialbaceae
Description: Haloterrigena hispanica Archaeal RNase P
Rfam family: Archaeal RNase P
About the family: Ribonuclease P (RNase P) is a ubiquitous endoribonuclease, found in archaea, bacteria and eukarya as well as chloroplasts and mitochondria. Its best characterised activity is the generation of mature 5'-ends of tRNAs by cleaving the 5'-leader elements of precursor-tRNAs. Cellular RNase Ps are ribonucleoproteins.
Source: RNAcentral